AAAGAGUCCAGACAUCCGCAGACUUCAAACAAUCCCUGGGACUUGUGUCCCUGUUAGCACCAAUCCCAUACAAGUUACUGAUUGUUAGAGACAAUUCCGUCACAAUGCAUUCUUCUUGGAGCUCUUGAUUCAGCUAUCAUCAUGCCGUGUCUUUAGAGUCUGGGUUUUUGCUGUUGUGUUGAGAUCCUGAAAGAAGAGGAAAUUUGUGCUUACUCCUAUUUUCUUAUCUCCCUAAGAGAAGAGCAGCUGCCAACAAGUUAGAUGAGAUCUAACAUUGACUGGACUUGGUUGGCAAAAAAGCAACAUUGCUGUGGGCUCAACGGUACUCUGCUCUCUUAGAUCAUCUCUUGGUUUCUCAUCUCAUCUUUGGAUGUACCGAAUGGCAGUAUGCUGUACAUGAAUAGACGACUGAGAGGAACAUUCUUCAUCUGUAUGUAUCAUCAGAAAAUGCUCCGGAGAAGAACUAAGUGUACCCGUACGUAACGCGGAGGUUAGAAGAAGUUUGAUAUUGUCAUCCAGGUAUGUGAUAUUUCAACCCCCAACAAGUAUAAACAAUGAUAGCUAAUGCAUAUGGGCAGCACUGUACAUGACAAUGUAUUGUACAUGUAUGGGCUGAAUUAACUUUAUAACAACUAUCAGGUAAGUACCAAUAUAUCCCCAUUUUACAGAUGAGGAUAAGAAAGUGAGUUAAUGCUUUUGGAUCCAGUGAAUGAAUAAUAAUCUUAAGAACAAGGAGUAUAAAAUUUAUCUGGUGUUAUGACACAGAAGGAAAUUGCAAGGAAGCUACAGAACUCACAGCUGUCAUAUAGACUUAUUACUCCCAUCCUUUAAAAGAGUAUUACCUAAGUAAAUUCAUUUCAUGAAUUCUUUGCUGUUAUUU
This 880-nucleotide long non-coding RNA is filed under the name Ursus maritimus (polar bear). RNAcentral's name for it is "lncRNA (ENSUMAG00000012465.1)". Lineage: Eukaryota; Metazoa; Chordata; Mammalia; Carnivora; Ursidae. The record is from RNAcentral.